Paramuricea clavata is the source of this 212-nucleotide non-coding RNA. The record is from the annotation of a GenBank genome assembly. Lineage: Eukaryota; Metazoa; Cnidaria; Anthozoa; Malacalcyonacea; Plexauridae.
GCUAUUGAAAAAAAAUGCUGCGAAAGAGAGUGGAAAAAAAAUCAUACAUGGUGAUGGGAUAGAAAAAAACUUGCACAUAAUGAUCCCAGAAAAAAACUCCCUGCCAGCAGUAAAUCACCCCCUCCCCCCCUCAAAAGUUAAAUGGUCGGCCCCUCAAUUCAUUCGUUUCUUAAUAGUUUUGUCUUUUUACUGUAAAAUGACUAAAGUAAAAG